Suncus etruscus (white-toothed pygmy shrew) is the source of this 102-nucleotide small nuclear RNA. The record is from RefSeq and is a predicted model, not a curated record. Lineage: Eukaryota; Metazoa; Chordata; Mammalia; Eulipotyphla; Soricidae.
GUGCUUAAUUCGUAGCACCUACACUAAAAUUGGAAAGAUACAGAAAAAAUAGCAUGAAUUCACAAGGAUUUUACACAAACUUGUGAAGCAUUUAAUUUUUAG